RNAcentral lists this transfer RNA (71 nucleotides) under Elusimicrobiota bacterium. RNAcentral's name for it is "Elusimicrobia bacterium (hot springs metagenome) tRNA-Gln". It matches the Rfam family "tRNA". Rfam says of the family: Transfer RNA (tRNA) molecules are approximately 80 nucleotides in length. Lineage: Bacteria; Pseudomonadati; Elusimicrobiota. The record is from RNAcentral.
UCCCGGGUGGUGUAAUGGUAACACAGCGCCCUUUGGAGGCGUCGUUCAUGGUUCGAAUCCAUGCCCGGGAG